GCGGGGGCACGGGGGGCCUACGGGAGGCAGCAGUAAGGAAUAUUGGUCAAUGGACGGAAGUCUGAACCAGCCAUGCCGCGUGCAGGAAGACGGCCCUAUGGGUUGUAAACUGCUUUUGUACGGGAAUAAACCUUCGGUCGUGACCGAAGCUGAAUGUACGUAGAUAAGAUCAUUUCCC
This 178-nucleotide ribosomal RNA is filed under the name uncultured bacterium. RNAcentral describes it as "partial 16S ribosomal RNA". It matches the Rfam family "Bacterial small subunit ribosomal RNA", at positions 318 to 498 of the family's 1533-position model. The record is from RNAcentral.